Long non-coding RNA from Stegostoma tigrinum, 818 nucleotides. RefSeq lists it as uncharacterized. The transcript has 3 exons. The record is from RefSeq and is a predicted model, not a curated record. NCBI's taxonomy places the organism in Eukaryota, Metazoa, Chordata, Chondrichthyes, Orectolobiformes, Stegostomatidae.
UCCACUGAGGCUCUCUAAUGAUGCGCAAUUAGGGUCAAGAGUAGGGUCAUUGUCUUUAACCCACUCUUGACCAAAACUAGGGCUUUGAUUAACUCAAGUUUUCCAACAUGGCAUCUGUUAAUUCUCUCCAUUUCAUUUGGGGGCAUCUUUCUCUGGAAAGUUAAGUCCACUUAGGGGUCUUGACUGAAAAUUAGUGAGGUGACUCAUUUUGGAAGGACUUAACAAGGUAAAGGGAUAAUGAUGGAUGUUCAGACCUGGGAGUACACGAUUAUGAAUGGUCGACCAACUUGAAGAGGAGCAGGGCAUUCACUGAGAUCAUGGAAAAAAGGACACCAGCCUGUCAAUCCUUUCUUGAUUGAAGAUAUUACGAACAGCUCAUGAAACUAGGCAAGCAAGACAAUACAUCACCUUGAUGUGCCACAGACUCCUGCUUUCAGGCUAUUUUAGAUUUCUUUACAAUGCCAAGAAACCCAUUUCUCUGCAUUUCUCACUUAGUAAAGGGUGCCCCAACUCAGCCCAUACUGCCAAAGGUUUCUUCAAAGAGUCUGAGUGACAAGAACCUUACAAGCUCGCAGUCAACAGGGCUCUGGUUUACACACUUUGAUGGACAAAAGCCUGCGACUGUUAGCCUCAGAGACAAACAGAUAUGGGAAUAAAAAAAAAAACUUAUGAUGCCUUCUGCAGCAGUUAUAAUGUUGAAACAUACGGAUUAUUUAAGUUUACAUUAUUUUUCCACAAUAGGCAACAUAUAUUCAGAAUUCAAGUUGAUGCCUUAACAGUACAAAUUACAAAUAGAUAAUUUUUAUUUCAACUUUUUA